RNAcentral lists this transfer RNA (63 nucleotides) under Svistella anhuiensis. RNAcentral describes it as "tRNA-Phe". The record is from RNAcentral. Lineage: Eukaryota; Metazoa; Arthropoda; Insecta; Orthoptera; Trigonidiidae.
AUUUAAAUAGCUUAUAUAGAGUAUGGCAUUGAAGAUGCUAGGGAAACGUGAAGUUUUUAAAUA